This 253-nucleotide ribosomal RNA is filed under the name uncultured bacterium. RNAcentral's name for it is "partial 16S ribosomal RNA". It matches the Rfam family "Bacterial small subunit ribosomal RNA", at positions 524 to 776 of the family's 1533-position model. The record is from RNAcentral.
CACGUAGGGCGCGAGCGUUGUCCGGAAUUAUUGGGCGUAAAGAGCUCGUAGGCGGCCUGUUGCGUCCGCUGUGAAAGCCCGGGGCUUAACCCCGGGUCGGCAGUGGAUACGGGCAGGCUAGAGGUAGGUAGGGGAGAAUGGAAUUCCCGGUGUAGCGGUGAAAUGCGCAGAUAUCGGGAGGAACACCGGUGGCGAAGGCGGGUCUCUGGGCCGAUACUGACGCUGAGGAGCGAAAGCGUGGGGAGCGAACCGG